This 17-nucleotide ribosomal RNA is filed under the name Stereophaedusa japonica. Its description in RNAcentral is "Phaedusa japonica partial 5.8S rRNA". The record is from RNAcentral. Lineage: Eukaryota; Metazoa; Mollusca; Gastropoda; Stylommatophora; Clausiliidae.
CAAAAAAAAAAAAACCC